This 442-nucleotide ribosomal RNA is filed under the name uncultured bacterium. RNAcentral's name for it is "bacterial SSU rRNA". It matches the Rfam family "Bacterial small subunit ribosomal RNA", at positions 340 to 767 of the family's 1533-position model. The record is from RNAcentral.
UACGGAAGGCAGCAGUGGGGAAUAUUGGACAAUGGGCGCAAGCCUGAUCCAGCCAUGCCGCGUGUGUGAAGAAGGCCUUUUGGUUGUAAAGCACUUUAAGCGAGGAGGAGGCUCUCUUAGUUAAUACCUAAGAUGAGUGGACGUUACUCGCAGAAUAAGCACCGGCUAACUCUGUGCCAGCAGCCGCGGUAAUACAGAGGGUGCGAGCGUUAAUCGGAUUUUACUGGGCGUAAAGCGUGCGUAGGCGGCUUUUUUAAGUCGGAUGUGAAAUCCCCGAGCUUAACUUGGGAAUUGCAUUCGAUACUGGGAAGCUAGAGUAUGGGAGAGGAUGGUAGAAUUCCAGGUGUAGCGGUGAAAUGCGUAGAGAUCUGGAGGAAUACCGAUGGGCGAAGGGCAGCCAUCGUGGGCCUAAUACUGACGCUGAGGUACGAAAGCAUGGGGA